GAACGCACCUUGCACCCUUUGGACUCUCCAAAGGGUAUGCUCGUUUGAGUGUCAUUGUACUCUCACACUCUCUGAUCCUUUGGAUUUGGGGAGCGGUGGACUUGGGUGCUUGCUGCUUCCUUGUGGCUCACCUGAAAUGCGUCAGUGCAUCUCUUGAUUGGACAUAGUACGGCGUGAUAAGUAUCUUCGCCGGCACCUCGUAAGAGGGUGGCCGAUUGGGAGCUCUGUGCUUUCAAACCGUCUUCGGACAAUCUCUGACAACUUGACCUCAAAUCGAGUAGGACUACCCGCUGAACUUA
This 299-nucleotide unclassified non-coding RNA is filed under the name uncultured Sebacina. RNAcentral's name for it is "sequence contains 5.8S rRNA gene". Lineage: Eukaryota; Fungi; Basidiomycota; Agaricomycetes; Sebacinales; Sebacinaceae. The record is from RNAcentral.